CAGUUUUGGCGGAGCCAUCCUUGGGAUACCACCCUUGUAGUACUGGGACUCUAACCAUAGGCCAUGAAUCUGGUCUUGGGACACUGUCAGGUGGGCAGGUUGACUGGGGCGGUCGCCUCCCAAAAGGUAACGGAGGCGCUCAAAGGUUCUCUCAGUACGGUCGGAAAUCGUACGUAGAGUGUAAAGGCAAAAGAGAGCUUGAUUGCAAGACAUACAGGUCGAGCAAGGAUGAAAAUCGGACUUAGUGAUCCGGUGGUUCUGCGUGGAAGGGCCAUCGCUCAACGGAUAAAAGCUACCCUGGGGAUAACAGGCUUAUCUCCCCCAAGAGUCCACAUCGACGGGGAGGUUUGGCACCUCGAUGUCGGCUCAUCACAUCCUGGGGCUGUAGUAGGUCCCAAGGGUUGGGCUGUUCGCCCAUUAAAGUGGUACGCGAGCUGGGUUCAGAACGUCGUGAGACAGUUCGGUCCCUAUCCGUCGCAGGCGGAGGAAAUUUGAGAAGACCUGUCCUUAGUACGAGAGGACCGGGAUGGACGUACCUCUGGUGUACCAGUUGUCCUGCCAAGGGCAUGGCUGGGUAGCUAUGUACGGAAUGGAUAAGCGCUGAAAGCAUCUAAGCGCGAAG
RNAcentral lists this ribosomal RNA (622 nucleotides) under Clostridioides difficile. Its description in RNAcentral is "bacterial LSU rRNA". It matches the Rfam family "Bacterial large subunit ribosomal RNA", at positions 2172 to 2792 of the family's 2925-position model. Lineage: Bacteria; Bacillati; Bacillota; Clostridia; Peptostreptococcales; Peptostreptococcaceae. The record is from RNAcentral.